GAACCGUGCGAACGUUGUUCGGAAUCACUGGGCUUAAAGGGCGCGUAGGCGGCAUGGCAAGUCGGGAGUGAAAUGCCUGGGCUCAACCGAGGAACUGCUUUCGAGACUGCCAAGCUAGAGUGCGGAAGGGGCAUCUGGAAUUCCCAGUGUAGCGGUGAAAUGCGUAGAUAUUGGGAAGAACACCUGAGGCGAAGGCGGGAUGCUGGGCCGACACUGACGCUGAAGCGCGAAAGCCAGGGGAGCAAACGGGAUUAGAUACCCCGGUAGUCCUGGCCCUAAACGAUGGAUACUUGGUGUGUGGGGUUCUUCGAGUCCCCGCGUGCCGGAGCUAACGCGGUAAGUAUCCCGCCUGGGGAGUACGGUCGCAAGGCUG
RNAcentral lists this ribosomal RNA (373 nucleotides) under uncultured bacterium. RNAcentral describes it as "bacterial SSU rRNA". It matches the Rfam family "Bacterial small subunit ribosomal RNA", at positions 527 to 896 of the family's 1533-position model. The record is from RNAcentral.